CAGCAGCCGCGGGAAUACGAAGGGUGCAAGCGUUAAUCGGAAUUACUGGGCGUAAAGCGUGCGUAGGCGGUUUGUUAAGUCUGUUGUGAAAUCCCCGGGCUCAACCUGGGAAUGGCAAUGGAUACUGGCACGCUAGAGUGUGUCAGAGGAUGGUGGAAUUCCCGGUGUAGCGGUGAAAUGCGUAGAGAUCGGGAGGAACAUCAGUGGCGAAGGCGGCCAUCUGGGACAACACUGACGCUGAGGCACGAAAGCGUGGGGAGCAAACAGGAUUAGAUACCCCCGUAGUCCCUGUCUCUUAUAC
Molecule: ribosomal RNA, 301 nt
Filed under: uncultured bacterium
Lineage: Bacteria
Description: partial 16S ribosomal RNA
Rfam family: Bacterial small subunit ribosomal RNA
Source: RNAcentral